This 5879-nucleotide long non-coding RNA is filed under the name Triticum aestivum (bread wheat). RNAcentral's name for it is "long non-coding RNA (TAES_LNC008294)". Lineage: Eukaryota; Viridiplantae; Streptophyta; Magnoliopsida; Poales; Poaceae. The record is from RNAcentral.
CCCGAUGUCCAACAUAGGUCCACGAUCAGUACACAUAGGAGGAGACAAUCAAAAUAUGGACAGAAAAUAAAUAUUUAAUAUGUAAAUGGUAGGUGACAAAUCUGGCCACAAAAUUGUACAAACAACCCAUUGGCUAGUUUUAUUGAAUAUUAAAAUAACAUAGUUGAUUUAUAAAACAUACAAAAUUUAUGAUCUCAUCAGCACAUAAUUAUUUUGAGAACCAUAAGGUUGGGAUUUAUCCACCCAAAAUAGGGGUGAUAACGAAACUAUUGUGUUGCUGCUGCUGCUGGUGUGCAAUUAAUCUUGCAGGGACAGUUGAUGAAGCAUUCUCCGAGAUUUGGCCAGCACAAUUUAUCUAUUUUACAGCAGAAUUCCCGUCCUGGGAGCUGGUGCCCAUCUUUAUAACAAGGGGGUCUCGUUACAUGGCUUACUUUCGUCAUCAUGUUGCUCCCCUUGUCAUUUAUGAUUUCGCCUAAUUAACAUAAAAUAAAGAAUACACUUAUCAUCUCAUCAUAUAAACAAAUAAAAGUCCACAAUCUCAACCCCCCCAUAAAAAUCGAGUUGUUAAUUACCAUAUGUGCCUCCAAGACAAGUCAAACAAACCACAAGAAGAAAAGAAAGUAGCACUAGUCCUUGCACAUUGUUCCUCAUGUACUUGGUCAUCAUCUUCGGGGAACAGAGGCUAUUAAUGGGUGGUACUCUUGUAAGUGGAGUUGAUGAGUGUAUGACCGUGAAAUGCUUGCUCCAUGAAUGGUUCAUAUAUAUAUAGUGAAAGCUUCUCCACAUUGAUGUGUGAAGUUGAAGAAAAUAUUAAUGCUUGGAGUUAUGGCUUGUCGGAAUGUCCAAUUUUAGUUUCACUUCUAAAGAUUCAUGGUUCCUUCUAAAGUUUUUUUUUCAAAUUGAUGCUUUGUCAUAUCGUGUAAGUUACUUUAAUGCCCCAUCUAGAAUUGAUCGCUUAUUGUUUCCGAGGGGUAGAAUUGACCUAUUAUAAUGGGUAGCAAAAAACUGGUGCAUGUUAAUAUUAUAGUUAAGGCAUUGUUGAUAAUUGGUAUAGUAUCAAUAAUUCCUAUAUAUAUGAUGCCUUCUCUGUAUAAUUAUUAAUUUCUCUCUUGGUAUAAGAGAACAAAAUUUAAAAUUCACCAAGACUCAUCCACUUAACAUUGGACUUGCUUUUUAAAUGUAUAUAAGAAACUAUUCUUAAGUAUAUCAACAAUUUACAUGUAAUUUUAUUUUACUUUUUUCGCAUGAACAUAGAUUAAUUAUGGGAUGACCAUUUUAUAAAUAUAAGUUGAUGAUAUAUUGUCAUAUACAUGAACAUUUUAUAUCGAGGUACUUGAGCAUUUUUUUUCAUUUUUCUAUACACAAAUAUUUCUCCAAUAUUAAGUCGAUUUUGAUUUUUUAAAUAGAUUAGAUUCCCCGAAACUGUCUUUAUUAGAAUAGUAAGAAUUUCGCGUUGACCUGGCUAGGGCAAAUUUCGUUAGGCGGAGCUUCCCAAUUCACAGGACUCCCUAUACGCUCCUCCUUGCGGCUAACAACCUCCCCUUCGCACAACGCGCGCCUGACUGGCACGGCCCAUUGAAGAUACGACUGGACAUCAACAAGCGGGAGAGUAGGCGCUGACCUGACCCACUUUAGCAUCAUUUUUUUAUUUUUGAAACAUUUCUUUGGAAAAUGAACAAGCAUUGAUUAAUGUGAACAUAUUUUAAAAACUUUUGAACAUAUUUUUGGAAUUUCAUACAUUUUUCUAAAAAAAAUGAAUACUUUUGAAAAUCUUGAACAAUAUUUGUAAACUAUGACCUUUUCUUGGAAAACCAACAAUUAAUGAAAUACGUGAUAGUUUUAUAAUUUGUACAACAUUUUUAGAAAUUAUGAAUUUUUAGAAAAACAAUUUUUGAAAUUCCGAACAAAACAUGAGAAUGGGAACAUUUUUUGAAAACUAGAACAUUUUGAAAAUUUAAAAGAAAUUGAAAUGUCCGAACAUUUUCAAAAAGGAGACUUUUUGAAAAAGAAAAUAAGAAAAAUAUACAAGAUAAAACAAAGAUAAAAAAGAACCCAAAGAAAACCGGUAAAAGAAACAGAAGGAAAAAAGAACAAACGAAAAUACGAGUAAAAAUCAUAUCAGAACCUUUUGGAAGGUUCCCAAAAUCGGUAAAAGCCCGAAAGGAAUAUUCUGGAAGUUCGUAAAACUAGAGCGGCACGGCCAAAAUGGCUCGGCCGUUCCCGAGCACGAGAGUCAGUUCUGUGUGCAAGCACCCGCAAUUUGACGUUAAAUGCUCAAAUAGGGUUUCCACCAUUUCUCUUGUUUCUUGUUGCCUCAUAUGAGUUUGUUGUUGUUUGGUUCAUAUCUGGGUCGAAGCCCCAAUCACACCCCACCCACCAUUUUAUGCCCUUACACGACUGGCCUUCCUAGAGAUGUCAUGGCGUCAGUGUCGACGCCUUCCCUCACCCCCGUACGAGCCCCUUAUGAUUGACGCUCUUGGCCGCAAUCACGUUUCCCUUCGACCUCACCGUGUUCCUGUCCAAGUGUUUUGGGGUAUAUACUCCUUGGAGCUUUCUGGCAUCAAGAUUAGUUAGACCCCACCUCAACUGGAAGAACUUUGCUGAGAAGAGUUUGGAUGUAGUGAGACCUCUGGUUUGAAAUUGAUAAGUUGCCACCAAGCCAAGCCGUCCAAGUUUAAUCUAUGCACAUCAACUCAUUACUUACUCAACUUAUUUCCUUACAUAUCAAUGUAUGACCCAGCUUUAGCAUCGAGAUGCCAAAAAGGAAAAGAGGGACUAAAGGGCCCAAGGUGGUAGCCCUAGUCCUCCUCCUCCAUGGACUCCUCCGAGUCGUUGUCACUGUCCUCCUGGUGCUCCUCGUGAAUGUCCUCAUCUCGCCAUCGGCACCAUGGAAACCAGACGUAGUAGCGUUGGAGUCAUCUGAGUCGGUCCACUUGUUGAUCUUCCCAAUCCACCUAUCCUCUGAGGUCAUGUUCUUCUCAGAGACAAUCUGCACCUCAAUCUCAAGCUUCCUAUAAUCAUGGUGACCUGGCACUGCCGGGCAAUCUUCUCAGCCACAUGUGCCUUGUACAUAUUCUUCUGAGUAUCCACCUGAAUGCAGAAAAGCUUCUUUAUCUUCUUCUUGAGUUUGAUGUCCCAAGUAGGCUGAUCCGAGGGUGGUACAUAGUCAGGCUCCUCAGAUCCAUCAGACUUUGCUCUUGGGAAAUUGAUCUCUGGUGCAUCUGGCACAACUCCCCAGUUCUCCUUCUGCCUGAGCUUCAUCACAUCAUGAGUGGCAAGCUUGCCAGUCUCUAGGCGCUCAUCUGGAACCUGAGCCGCCGAAGUAGUAGUGAUGAGCUUGCAGAGAUAGGACCCAUAGAUGGGAACCUUCCUAUCAUACAUAGCAGUAGUGAGCUCAUACCACAUCACAUGUCAAACGUCCAGCAUGCUAGUCUUGCUCUUUGCUUCUUGUGAGUUGCGUUGGGAUUUCCCCGAAGAGGAGAGGAUGAUGCAGUAUAGUAGAGAUAAUUAUUUCCCUCAGUUAAGAACAUAGAUUAUCAAUCUAGUAGGAGAACCACACAAGACCUCGUGAAACACCUACACACAAAAGAACAAAUACUUGCACCCAACACAAAGAAGGGGUUGUCAAUCCCUUGGCGGUUAAUUGCAAGGAUCAAGUCUGAUAAUGAUAGAUAGAUAAACAAGAACACAAAAUAAAAUAAAGGUGAAUAAAUUGAAACAAUGUAUUUUUGGAUUUUAAUAUAUGAUAAAAAUAGACCCCGAUCCCUAAGUAUGUUGCGGUAGAUUACUAAAUAGACACAGAACCUUAGAGCUAUUGCUCAAUCCAUCAAUCAUUGUAACGCCUAUACACAAGCAAUAUACAUGAGCACGGGGUAGGAUUUUACCUCAUGCGUGAGGGUAUGAAAAUGGAUAUACCCCUUCUUACUUCCCAUUUGGUUUAAUCGUCUGGCCAGAAUACCUUAUCAAGUUAUCUGCCGAAAAUAACACCACCACCUCAUAAAUGGGCUAGGGCCAGGUAAAUUUUUUUCUCCCUUUUUGUUAUUUUGUUUCUACUUCCGUCUAUGUUUAAAAAUAUUUUAAAUACAUAUAUUUUGGAAUAUUCUUCAUCAAUUAUUAAUACAUUCACCGUGCUUUGAAAAAUGGUCAUGAAAUGUAAUUAUUUGUUUUCACAAUUUGAUAAAUUCUUCAUAUCAUUCAAAAGAAUAUUUGUAUCAUUUUCAAAAAUGUUCGCAUGUUUAAAAAAAUGUGUGAUUUAAAGAAAUAUUUAUUACUAUAUAUAUGAGUCAGGGUAAUUUGUAGAAAAAAACAUACCAUUCAAAAAUCCACUCUCUACCAACUAUAUGCAUGUGUCUUGUAGCAAGCGGUGAGCCGAGGGUUGCUAUCUGAUCAAUUGCUGACUGGGUAGCUCACGAGUGUUUGACAUCUCUCUCUACAUUGGGUAUCCUUUCACACUUGAAUUUUAAGAUGCACGGAAUGUGCUUUCCUUGUUGUUGCCUCAACAUUACAACAUGGAAUCAAAGCAAAACUGAUAUUACUACCCUUAAAAAAUGUCUUGCUAUCUAUGUUCUUAACAUGCCCAUUGGACUGCAUGGCGAAAGUGAAGGUGUGCGCCUAGCUGGUGGUGGAGCAGACACACUCAUCUGUGACCUCCAAUCUAAGUAUGACAUUUACUCUGUAGCGAGUCAAUGGUGCAUGUGGGUUGGAACGCUGCUUAGCAAAUGUAGACUUAAUUUGCAGGCAAGCCAACAUGAAAUCUGUAGGCCCAUGUGAGUUCCAUCAUAAUCACGGUCAGUUCAACUCUGAUUCGAAUCCUAAUAAAAAAGUUGGAUCAACGGUCCUGGAUGGAUAUGUCCAUCACAAGACAUCACAGCAGUUGAUAGAGUCGAUAUGACCUAUAGCUACAGGACACCGACACCCCUCACUUCCUCUACAUGCACUAAACAAACCCUAGCUUAUCCAACUCAAUUUGCUUCAUGGUUUGUGUGCAAAAGAAGAAGUGUUAAAACCAAGCACCAUGCUCUUGAACCUAAGAAACCAAUAGUCAAUUUACCUAUGGAUAUUAUAUACCAUGCUUGAUCUGUCUUGCUGAUAAUACUUACGAAACAUAUUUUAAAUUACAAUGUUUGGUGCUUCACAACCUGUUAUGAAACUAUUGUUCACCCAUCCAAUGCAACAAAAAGUAUGUGAAUGAUGAUAACGCAAUAACGAGUAGAGAGAGAGAGAGAGAGAGAGAGAGAGAGAGAGAGAGAGAGAGAGAGAGAGAGAUAUUAAAGUCCAUUUUUUCCCGAUGUCCAACAUAGGUCCACGAUCAGUACACCUCGGAGGAGACAAUCAAAAUAUGGACAGAAAAUAAAUAUUUAAUAUGUAAAUAGUAGGUGACAAAUCUGGCCACAAAAUUGUACAAACAACCCAUUGGCUAGUUUUAUUGAAUAUUAAAAUAACAUAGUUGAUUUAUAAAACAUACAAAAUUUAUGAUCUCAUCCGCACAUAAUUAUUUUGAGAACCAUAAGGUUGGGAUUUAUCCACCCAAAAUAGGGGUGAUAACGAAACUAUUGUGUUGCUACUGCUGGUGUGCAAUUAAUCUUGCAGGGACAGUUGAUGAAGCAUUCUCCGAGAUUUGGCCAGCACAAGUUAUCUAUUUUACAACAGAAUUCCCGUCCUGGGAGCUGGUGCCCAUCUUUAUAACAAGGGGGUCUCGUUACAUGGCUUACUUUCGUCAUCAUGUUGCUCCCCUUGUCAUUUAUGAUUUCGCCUAAUUAACAUAAAAUAAAGAAUACACUUAUCAUCUCAUCAUAUAAACAAAUAAAAGUCCACAAUCUCAACCCCCUCAUAAAAAUCGAGUUGUUAAUUACCAUAUGUGCCUCCAAGACAAGUCAAAC